RNAcentral lists this ribosomal RNA (2856 nucleotides) under Salmonella enterica. Its description in RNAcentral is "bacterial LSU rRNA". It matches the Rfam family "Bacterial large subunit ribosomal RNA". The record is from RNAcentral. Lineage: Bacteria; Pseudomonadati; Pseudomonadota; Gammaproteobacteria; Enterobacterales; Enterobacteriaceae.
AGCGUACACGGUGGAUGCCCUGGCAGUCAGAGGCGAUGAAGGACGUGCUAAUCUGCGAUAAGCGCCGGUAAGGUGAUAUGAACCGUUAUAACCGGCGAUUUCCGAAUGGGGAAACCCAGUGUGAUUCGUCACACUAUCAUUAACUGAAUCCAUAGGUUAAUGAAGCGAACCGGGGGAACUGAAACAUCUAAGUACCCCGAGGAAAAGAAAUCAACCGAGAUUCCCCCAGUAGCGGCGAGCGAACGGGGAGGAGCCCAGAGCCUGAAUCAGCAUGUGUGUUAGUGGAAGCGUCUGGAAAGGCGCGCGAUACAGGGUGACAGCCCCGUACACAAAAGCGCAUGUGCUGUGAGCUCGAUGAGUAGGGCGGGACACGUGGUAUCCUGUCUGAAUAUGGGGGGACCAUCCUCCAAGGCUAAAUACUCCUGACUGACCGAUAGUGAACCAGUACCGUGAGGGAAAGGCGAAAAGAACCCCGGCGAGGGGAGUGAAACAGAACCUGAAACCGUGUACGUACAAGCAGUGGGAGCACAGGUUUACCUGUGUGACUGCGUACCUUUUGUAUAAUGGGUCAGCGACUUAUAUUCUGUAGCAAGGUUAACCGUAUAGGGGAGCCGAAGGGAAACCGAGUCUUAAUUGGGCGUUAAGUUGCAGGGUAUAGACCCGAAACCCGGUGAUCUAGCCAUGGGCAGGUUGAAGGUUGGGUAACACUAACUGGAGGACCGAACCGACUAAUGUUGAAAAAUUAGCGGAUGACCUGUGGCUGGGGGUGAAAGGCCAAUCAAACCGGGAGAUAGCUGGUUCUCCCCGAAAGCUAUUUAGGUAGCGCCUCGUGAACUCAUCUCCGGGGGUAGAGCACUGUUUCGGCUAGGGGGCCAUCCCGGCUUACCAACCCGAUGCAAACUGCGAAUACCGGAGAAUGUUAUCACGGGAGACACACGGCGGGUGCUAACGUCCGUCGUGAAGAGGGAAACAACCCAGACCGCCAGCUAAGGUCCCAAAGUCAUGGUUAAGUGGGAAACGAUGUGGGAAGGCCCAGACAGCCAGGAUGUUGGCUUAGAAGCAGCCAUCAUUUAAAGAAAGCGUAAUAGCUCACUGGUCGAGUCGGCCUGCGCGGAAGAUGUAACGGGGCUAAACCAUGCACCGAAGCUGCGGCAGCGAACGUAUCACUUAAAACGAUUCAGAAGCUUACGAUUGACGGAGCGAAGCGACGUCAAAGCGUAUACAAAGUCGAGUCGGUUUAGGGAUACGUUCGUUGGGUAGGGGAGCGUUCUGUAAGCCUGCGAAGGUGGCCUGUGAGGGUUGCUGGAGGUAUCAGAAGUGCGAAUGCUGACAUAAGUAACGAUAAAGCGGGUGAAAAGCCCGCUCGCCGGAAGACCAAGGGUUCCUGUCCAACGUUAAUCGGGGCAGGGUGAGUCGACCCCUAAGGCGAGGCCGAAAGGCGUAGUCGAUGGGAAACGGGUUAAUAUUCCCGUACUUGGUGUUACUGCGAAGGGGGGACGGAGAAGGCUAUGUUGGCCGGGCGACGGUUGUCCCGGUUUAAGCGUGUAGGCUGACUUUCCAGGCAAAUCCGGAGAGUCAAGGCUGAGGCGUGAUGACGAGGCACCACGGUGCUGAAGCAACAAAUGCCCUGCUUCCAGGAAAAGCCUCUAAGCAUCAGGUAACAUCAAAUCGUACCCCAAACCGACACAGGUGGUCAGGUAGAGAAUACCAAGGCGCUUGAGAGAACUCGGGUGAAGGAACUAGGCAAAAUGGUGCCGUAACUUCGGGAGAAGGCACGCUGACACGUAGGUGAAGUGGUUUACCCAUGGAGCUGAAGUCAGUCGAAGAUACCAGCUGGCUGCAACUGUUUAUUAAAAACACAGCACUGUGCAAACACGAAAGUGGACGUAUACGGUGUGACGCCUGCCCGGUGCCGGAAGGUUAAUUGAUGGGGUCAGCGCAAGCGAAGCUCCUGAUCGAAGCCCCGGUAAACGGCGGCCGUAACUAUAACGGUCCUAAGGUAGCGAAAUUCCUUGUCGGGUAAGUUCCGACCUGCACGAAUGGCGUAAUGAUGGCCAGGCUGUCUCCACCCGAGACUCAGUGAAAUUGAACUCGCUGUGAAGAUGCAGUGUACCCGCGGCAAGACGGAAAGACCCCGUGAACCUUUACUAUAGCUUGACACUGAACAUUGAGCCUUGAUGUGUAGGAUAGGUGGGAGGCUUUGAAGCGUGGACGCCAGUCUGCGUGGAGCCGACCUUGAAAUACCACCCUUUAAUGUUUGAUGUUCUAACGUGGACCCGUAAUCCGGGUUGCGGACAGUGUCUGGUGGGUAGUUUGACUGGGGCGGUCUCCUCCUAAAGAGUAACGGAGGAGCACGAAGGUUGGCUAAUCCUGGUCGGACAUCAGGAGGUUAGUGCAAUGGCAUAAGCCAGCUUGACUGCGAGCGUGACGGCGCGAGCAGGUGCGAAAGCAGGUCAUAGUGAUCCGGUGGUUCUGAAUGGAAGGGCCAUCGCUCAACGGAUAAAAGGUACUCCGGGGAUAACAGGCUGAUACCGCCCAAGAGUUCAUAUCGACGGCGGUGUUUGGCACCUCGAUGUCGGCUCAUCACAUCCUGGGGCUGAAGUAGGUCCCAAGGGUAUGGCUGUUCGCCAUUUAAAGUGGUACGCGAGCUGGGUUUAGAACGUCGUGAGACAGUUCGGUCCCUAUCUGCCGUGGGCGCUGGAGAACUGAGGGGGGCUGCUCCUAGUACGAGAGGACCGGAGUGGACGCAUCACUGGUGUUCGGGUUGUCAUGCCAAUGGCACUGCCCGGUAGCUAAAUGCGGAAGAGAUAAGUGCUGAAAGCAUCUAAGCACGAAACUUGCCCCGAGAUGAGUUCU